UACGUAGGGUGCAAGCGUUGUCCGGAAUUAUUGGGCGUAAAGAGCUCGUAGGCGGUUUGUCGCGUCUGCUGUGAAAACUCGGGGCUUAACCCCGGGCCUGCAGUGGGUACGGGCAGACUAGAGUGCGGUAGGGGAGACUGGAAUUCCUGGUGUAGCGGUGAAAUGCGCAGAUAUCAGGAGGAACACCGAUGGCGAAGGCAGAUCUCUGGGCCGUAACUGACGCUGAGGAGCGAAAGCAUGGGGGAGCGAACAGG
RNAcentral lists this ribosomal RNA (254 nucleotides) under uncultured bacterium. RNAcentral's name for it is "partial 16S ribosomal RNA". It matches the Rfam family "Bacterial small subunit ribosomal RNA", at positions 524 to 776 of the family's 1533-position model. The record is from RNAcentral.